UACCCUAUUAUAUUAGGUGUUAAUUUUUUGCUUGGUUAGUAUUAGAUUAUUCUUGAAAUCCAAAUAAUUUGGCGGUAUUUUAUUCUAUUCAGAGGAACCUGUUCUUUAAUUGAUAAUCCACGAUUUUAUGUACUUAAUCUUGUAUAGCAGUUUUUAUAUUUCCGUCAUAAGGAUAUUUUAUUAGGAUAAAUUUUCUUAAUUAUUAAAAUUAAUAAUGUCAGGUCAAGAUGAAACUAAUGUUUAAGUAGAAAUGGGUUACAAUAAAUUUAUUUAUACGAAUUUUUAAUUUUAUAUUUAUUUUGAAGGAGGAUUUGAUAGUAAAUAAAUUUAUUAAAUUUAUUGAUUUAAGCUCUAAAUUAUGUACACAUCGCC
Molecule: ribosomal RNA, 372 nt
Filed under: Mecistogaster modesta
Lineage: Eukaryota; Metazoa; Arthropoda; Insecta; Odonata; Coenagrionidae
Description: partial 12S ribosomal RNA
Source: RNAcentral